GAACGGGCAUAGCAAUAUGUCAGUGGCAAACGGGUGAGUAAUACAGAGGAAUCUACCUAGCAGUAAGGAAUAACCCUGGGAAACCAGAGCUAAUGCCAUAUAUUACCCUUCGGGGGAAAGAUUUAUCGCUGUUAGAUGAGCCUCUGCCGGAUUAGCUAGUUGGUAGGGUAAAGGCCUACCAAGGCGACGAUCUAUAGCUGGUCUGAGAGGACGAUCAGCCACACUGGGACUGAGACACGGCCCAGACUCC
RNAcentral lists this ribosomal RNA (250 nucleotides) under uncultured bacterium. RNAcentral describes it as "partial 16S ribosomal RNA". It matches the Rfam family "Bacterial small subunit ribosomal RNA", at positions 64 to 339 of the family's 1533-position model. The record is from RNAcentral.